This 301-nucleotide ribosomal RNA is filed under the name uncultured bacterium. RNAcentral describes it as "partial 16S ribosomal RNA". It matches the Rfam family "Bacterial small subunit ribosomal RNA", at positions 509 to 808 of the family's 1533-position model. The record is from RNAcentral.
CAGCAGCCGCGGGAAUACGUAGGUGGCAAGCGUUGUCCGGAAUUAUUGGGCGUAAAGCGCGCGCAGGCGGUUUCUUAAGUCUGAUGUGAAAGCCCCCGGCUUAACCGGGGAGGGUCAUUGGAAACUGGGAGACUUAGAGUGCAGAAGAGGAGAGUGGAAUUCCAUGUGUAGCGGUGAAAUGCGUAGAUAUAUGGAGGAACACCAGUGGCGAAGGCGACUCUCUGGUCUGUAACUGACGCCGAGGCGCGAAAGCGUGGGGAGCAAACAGGAUUAGAUACCCGAGUAGUCCCUGUCUCUUAUA